Molecule: unclassified non-coding RNA, 919 nt
Filed under: Hevea brasiliensis (rubber tree)
Lineage: Eukaryota; Viridiplantae; Streptophyta; Magnoliopsida; Malpighiales; Euphorbiaceae
Source: RNAcentral
AUUUUUUCUCAUUUUCUAUUUUUUCAACCCUUCAGUUCUAGUUGAGCAACUCUGCUUUUUCAGAGGCUUCCCCUGCUCUUUUUGGGCAGGGGGAAGCUCCUUUUUCCAGCCUAGAUUGUGGGUUCACCCUCCUUAUGAGUGGGUAGGUGUAAAUAGUUUUAGUUGAUGUUUGUUUUGGAGCAGAUUUGUGCAAAUGAUGAGGAUGAUUAUUUGAUCUACUGCUAUAGGUGGUUUAGUGGUUUUGUUAUGUUGUUGGCUUAGCUUUGGUGGCCAUGCAUGUUGAAGUUGUUGGGGGACAGUAACGACUCUAUGGGUUUAAUUGUGCGGUGAAUGAAGUUUUAUGUUUGCAGAUAUGCCUAGUUUGGGAGAUCAGAGUUUUCUCAUUCAUUGCGUCGGUGUAUACUUUGUUUCUUUCUGGUCUGGCAUGGAACAAUCGUUUGUGGCAACUCGCGAGGUGCGAUACAAAAGAUCUGCCCAGAAGGUGCGAAUGGGACACCCAAAAGACCCAUCGCCGAUGUCCUAUGCUUGUUGUGGCAUCAAUACAAAGCAUUGUUUCGAGAUCUGCAUGCUGCCUCUCCUAUUUUAUCAAAUAUCAGGUUAUGUGAGGUUCCUCUAUUUUGGGUCUAUUUUUAUGCUUGAAUAAUCCUAGCGUCUGAAUCUGUGAUGCCUCUUUGGAAUUGUUGGAAGAUACUCAUUUUUGUUGGAGUUUUGCUGGAACGACUACUGGCCAUUGUUGUCAAGGUUCUCCCUGAAGGCGACGAAGCAAGUAUCCUGCUACGGCGCUGGUUCAAGGUGGCAACCAGGUCCUUGAUUUUGGUCAUCCUUAACCGUUUGAGUGGUUAUUAAAUUAUUAUUAAAUUAACUAUUUAAUUAAAAAUUUUGUAUUUUUAUUAAUUGAUAUAAAGUUCUAGUCAUGUUU